GCUCGCUCUUCCGAGACGUUUACCGGAGACUGUGUUUAUCAUUCCAGCGGCUGGGAGAGCCGGAGAGCGCCGCUUGUGUCGCCCACCUUGAUCCGGAACAGCGGGUCGGUGGGCGAUGAUCAGUGAUUCAGUGCAAGUUCCUAACAUCUAAUGUGGUAAUCUCAGACAGACACACGGAUGGACAGAUAACCAGAAAACAUAAUUUCUCAAUGAUCUAGUGGCGGAGGCAUAAAAAAAUAUCAUUGCCAUCAUCUCGACUCCUCUUUGCUCAAGGUGGGAAUACACCCUGGAAAGGACGUCAGUCCAUCACAGAGCGGAUGUGUCCCCCGAGGCCUUGCGCUUGCGUGAGGGGGUGUUCUGGCAUUGGUCCGAGUUUUCAGGAAGCCCGUUCGCCGCUGCUCCGGGAAGAUAAUAUGCAUCCAUUGGUGGUGAGGGUUCCUGAAUGGAGGAAAAGGAAAAAGCAACAGUGAAUGUUUUCCAUAGACUCUUAAAGCAAUAAGGCAUGAGAGAGCAUGCAUUACAGUUAUUUUAGCAUGGGUAAAGGUGUUCUUUGGUAAAACACAAAAUGGAGUAAAAACCCCUUACACCCAUGAUAUAAAUCACUAACGCACGCUGUCAUAUGGCUUAUUGCUUUUAUAAAACAGUGACAUAAAAUUUUUUAUUUUAUUUGCAGUAAACAAUUCUUCUGCCAGGGGGCACGGUGGCUCAGUGGUUAGCACUGUUGCCUCACACCUCCGGGGUUGGGGGCUUGAUUCCCGCCUCCGCCCAGUGUGCACAGAGUUUGCAUGUUCUCCCUGUGCUUUGGGGGUUUUCUCCGGGUACUCCGGUUUCCUCCCCCAGUCCAGUGCAUUGUAGGCUAAUUGAUAUUUCCAAAUUGUCCAUAGUGUGUCCGAUUGUGCCCUGUGAUUAGCAUUUUACAACUGCUUUAACAAAUGCUGAUCAGAUUUUAGGACCAAAACAAUCUGUUUUAUAGAUUGUGCUUUUUUUUUUAAAGAAUAAAAAUGUCCAGCUAAUGGGUAGUUCAACAGCUACUGGAUUAGAUGCUGAUAUGUACAUUAGGGCUGUAUUGCAUUAAAGUCAGAGAAACCUGAAAAACUGAAACAAGUCUUGAACAGCUUUGCCGGUUUGUAAACAAGAAUAAGACAAUACUUGAUUUUGAUGCAAAGCUUAGAAAUAAGAAAUAUGUUGCAAAUAUCCUGGAAACUGCAUUCACUAUUCUGACCUGCAUGAGGUAAUCAGCAAUGUACUCAGGCCUGAGGCAUUUAACUCCAUAAGCCAUGGCCUCAGUCACAUCCACUCUGACAUCAUUUGGUCCCAGCCGGCUGAAGUCUGCGAAGAGAUGAGUGGUUUCCUUAUACAGAGAGGGAGAUGGGCUUGGCAAUACCUGUACACAAAUGGAGAUAUGAACUUUUAGAAUGCAUUAGUAGGAGAAAAAAAAUUGAGUAAACGCUCUAAUAAAGGCUUGAUAAAUGAACAUGGUAAAACAAUUUGUAUGAUUGGAUUAUAAUAUUUAUAGUCCCCUCCGAAAGUAUUGGAACAGCAAGGCCAAUUCUUUUUGUUUUUGCUAUACGCUGAAGAUGUUUGGGUUUGAGAUCAAAAGAUGAACAUGAGAUGAUCAGAAUCUCGGCUUUUAUUUCCUGUUAUUUACAUCUAGACGGGUUAAACAACUUAGAACAGAACACUGCACCUUUGGUGGACCAACCAAUUUUCAGAUGAGCAACAGAUGGUCAAUUCAAAGAGAUAGUAAAUUAAAGUAAAAAACAGUAUUUGGUUGCAUAUCUCUUGCUUGCAUUAACUGCAUCAGGUGAUCCACUGACAUCACCAAAUUGUUCAUUCUUCUUUUCUGAUGCUUUUCCUGGCUUGUACCACAGCUUCUUUCAGUUGUUAUUUGUUUUGAGGGGUAUCUCCCUUCAGUCUCCUCUUCAGGGGGUGAAAUACAUGCUCUGACAAUGUUUCUGUAGACUUCUGAAUUCAUUCUACUGCUAACAUCAUGAGUUCCAUCUUCAAUAAAAAUUAGUGAGCCUGUUCCAGAAGCACGUGGUUUCUUUCUUUUUCAGGACAUUCCAAAUUGUUGUAUUGGCUAAGCCCAAUGCUUGUGCAAUGGCUCUCAUCUAUUUUGCCUCUUUUCUCAGCUUCAAAAUGGCUUGCCUUUCUCCCAUAGACAGCUCUCUGGUCUUCAUGUUGGUUUAUCCAUUUUAGCAACAAAAUGCAGUCUUCACGGACGAAACCCAGAGUUCAAACCAAGAGUAGACAUUCAGAGCUAUUAAUUGUGUAAACAAUCAAUAUAACGGGGCACACCCGGGCAACAAGAAAUAUCUGUCAGCUUGGAUUCAAACAAAAGGUGCUAUGUUCUAAGUUGUUUAAAAAAUCUAGACGUAAAUAUGAGGAAAUGAAAGCUGAAAUUCUGAUCUAUGGUCUCUCAUUCAUCUUUCAAUCUCAAACCCAAAAGUCUACAGUGUAUAGCAAAAAAAAAUAAAAAUAAAAAUAGAAUUGGCCUUGCUGUUCUAAUACUUUCAGAGGGAACUGCAUCUAGGAGACAUUGACAGCUUUUGAUAAAUGAAACAGCAAAAAUUUAAAUAUUGCUAGAACACUGGCUUAAUGCUGUGUAGGCAGGUCAAUAUGCACAAGAAUGCUACAGCAGUAUUUACACAGCACUAUGGCAAGUAACCAACCUGAUCAAAGCAUAAAGUUCACUGCGUGAAGAAAUCACACAUAGCUAGCAAGCUAGCAAUAAAGUACCCAUAGACAGGCUGACUUGGUUAAACUGGCUCCUUUUCUACCUAACAUGAUCCUGAUUAUAUCAGUAAGACUAAUUUAUGAUGUAUGUCAUAAGUCAUGAUAAAGAUACUUCGAAAUGAAUUAAGAACAGACCUUUGCUCCUCCAGACUGCAGCAAUCUUCUGAAUCCUGCAUCUCUGGCCUGGUCUAUAUUCAACAUCACUGUCCAGCCUCCAAACGCACCCUAAAGAAGGAAUUGAAGAAUAUGAAGGAAAUUAAUGCGAUCUGAAGUGUAUAUAAGAAUGAUAGGAGAGAUGAAGUGUGAGGUUUGUACCUCUUUAUCUGUGCGACCCUGCAAUGAUUUUCUCCAUCGCAAGGCUGCUAGUGCCAGUCUCUUCUGUUGGGAGUUUAUGGAGGGAAGAGCAUCCAGAAUAGAGCGGCUACCCCAUUCAUAAUCCUCCUCCUGAAAGAAACACACAAAGUGUACAAGAGACAACUAUUCUUAAUAAAGAUCAUACAAAACAUCCACAGCACUGCUAAACACGUAAUUAUAAACUACAUAAUAUAUAUAGUUCUUUAUUUUUUUCUUCAUUAAUGCUGGCUAAUUCGGCAUGUUUUUUCAGGUGGAAUCUCAGAAUUAUCAUUCUCUAAUAAUUUGCAUAUGUAAUAAGAAGGGUUCAAAGCAGUGAAGGUAAAUUUGUAAGCUUUUACAGAGGUACUGAGAAUGUCAUGUUUUAACACAAAAAAAAUCUGCACUGUGUUAGGUUUAAUGAGUGCUGGCGUAAUUGAAUGUUGACAAGAACACUGUGUGUGUGCACACGCUUUUGUAGCUGGGAGAGCACUCACUGGUAUGAAGUGUCCCUCAGCACGACAGGCCUCCAGGUAUGAGCGGUGAAGGAUCCAUUUGCCAGCUGCCAUGGCAGCCAGGUAUUUCUCAUUCCUCAGAGGAUAACCCACAAUGAUGUGAGUACAGCUAGGGUCAAAACACUGCUUUUCUAGUAAGACACCACCUGCACAUGCACAUAUUCAGCAUUUAAUGUGUGUUAAUAAGA
Pangasianodon hypophthalmus (striped catfish) is the source of this 3769-nucleotide long non-coding RNA. RefSeq lists it as uncharacterized. The record is from RefSeq and is a predicted model, not a curated record. NCBI's taxonomy places the organism in Eukaryota, Metazoa, Chordata, Actinopteri, Siluriformes, Pangasiidae. The transcript is spliced from 3 exons.